Molecule: ribosomal RNA, 253 nt
Filed under: uncultured bacterium
Lineage: Bacteria
Description: partial 16S ribosomal RNA
Rfam family: Bacterial small subunit ribosomal RNA
Source: RNAcentral
UACAGAGGUCCCAAGCGUUGUUCGGAUUCAUUGGGCGUAAAGGGUGCAUAGGUGGUCGGGUAAGUCUGAUGUGAAAUCUCGGAGCUCAACUCCGAAACGGCAUUGGAUACUAUUCGGCUGGAGGGUUGGAGGGGAGACUGGAAUACUUGGUGUAGCAGUGAAAUGCGUAGAUAUCAAGUGGAACACCAGUGGCGAAGGCGAGUCUCUGGACAUUUCCUGACGCUGAGGCACGAAAGCCAGGGGAGCAAACGGG